RNAcentral lists this long non-coding RNA (3416 nucleotides) under Hordeum vulgare. RNAcentral's name for it is "long non-coding RNA (HVUL_LNC007867)". Lineage: Eukaryota; Viridiplantae; Streptophyta; Magnoliopsida; Poales; Poaceae. The record is from RNAcentral.
UUGGAGGGAGUAGUCGGAAAGUGCAGCGGCGUCCAGGUCGUCGUGCCGGAGUAGUAGGUUUGACGACUUCAAGUUUCCAUGGGUGAGGCUGUGUGCCGCAUGUAGGUACGCCACCCCUCGCGCUGCCGAUAGUGCGGCACACUUCCGCAUGUUCCAGUCCAUCGGUGUCCGGCCAGAGCCGCCGCUACCUAUAGUAAAAUAAAUGCACUGUUAGAAUUUUUCAUAUAGAGACAUGCAUCAUAUGCAGCAAAAAGGCAUAGUCCCUUCAUACCACAAUGUAGUGUCUAUAGAUUUUUUUUAAAGAUUAAGUAUGUACAGAAAUAUCUAUAUUUAGAAUACCAAAUACAUAUCACUAGAAAAACUGUGAGAUAUAUUUAAUAUUUUAUAUGUUUUGUUUUGUAGAUGAACUUGGUUAAAAUUUGCCGAGUUUAUAUUUCUUAAACUUUUUUUAUAGGCGCUACCUUAGGGAAUGGAGGGAGUAGCAUUUUUCCAACAUUUUGAGAAAGUCCAAUUUUACUUUUUUUGCAAAAGCGUGCAGUACAAGUAUACUACUCUACUUCCUUUAUCUGGAUUUUUGUAGCCUAGGUCCAAAUUUUCCUAAACUUUAGGCUAGUAAAACAUGACUUAUAAAUUUGGGACCAAGUUUCACAAUCAUCAAGGACCGAAGAACAACAUGCCAGCAUCCAUGUGCGGCAGAAAGUAAAAGAAAUCGGCAUAUUCAACUGCCAAAAAGUAGGAGUUAUAUGCAAAAAAAAUUAUAUUACUGGGUUCAUAUUGAAAAAUAUUUUCAAUAAUAUACUUUUUGUGGUGAAUAAACCAUAAUUUAGUCAAAAUUAGGAUGAAAUUUGGGAUCAAAAUACGAAGUAACCAAUAGACAUGAAUAGGUGAAAUAUGAGACACGUGUGUCCAUGGAAUUAAUAGCGAUGCAAAAAUAUACAGAAUUUCAGCAGCAUAGUAACUUACACUAGUUUGACGUGUGUGUGUCAAUGGAGCUUCUAUGUACACAUACUUGUAUGGAAUUGCAUUUUGUAGUGGAGCAUGUAUGUACCGACUAAGAACCAGCCCUUCAUUCCCUUUAAGAUCCGUGCAUUUUGGACUCAUAUGCAUAUCACAUUCAAUAUAUUUGCUUUUCCUUUUAUAAGAUAUAACAAGUUUAGGUCAUAUCAUAGGGUUUCACUAGAGACAAGGACGUAAUGUGCAUGCAUGACUCUGCCAUUCUCCAUUCCCCUCCCAUUGAAGGCACUAGCAUUAUUUUUUCUUAGUGUUUUUAUUAUAUGAUUCAUACUUUUCAAACUAGAAUUCGGUUGUUCGAAAAAAACAUAUUUGAAAUCCUCAUGACAACGUCUUUCAAACAAGAUAAAAAAUGGAUGUAUUUUAAACUCAUUUAGUUUUGUUGUUUCACAAAAUUUAUUGGAAUUGAAAUGGUUAUAAUUUUUUAAUUGAUUCUUCUGUUGAUUGGAAUUGAAAUGAAUUUCGUAUAUCACUUUAUGUUAUGCAUUUCGAUAACUUAGUUACCUGAUGCAUUUAAGUUACAAAAUCAUUUUGUUACUUGAUGCAUUCCGGUAACGAAUGAUUCGCUAUCAAAUUAGUUUACCAGUAUAUGAAUUUCAAUACCAGAUUGAUUUCAAUUACCAUACCACUUUUAGUACCAUAUUCAUUUCAAUAACAUGCACAUAAUUCAAUUUUAAUACUAUUUUAAACAUACAUUUACAAAAAUUAGUACCAUGUCCAUUUCUAUAACAUAAAAGGGAAAUACAAAUGAUAAAUUUCACUACCAGAUGCAUUUCGACACUAGAGCAUUUCAAUACCAUAUCACUUUGUUACCAAGUCCAUUUGAAUACCAUAUGCUUCAGUGCCAAAUUACUUUGUUAUGAGUUGCAUUUCAAUACUAGAUGUGUUUCGAUUAGUAGAUCACUUUUUUUUAAAUACCGUAACACUUUUAGCAUCUUAUCAAUUUCAAUAACAUGCAUCUAUUUUCAAUUUCAGAACAUUUAUAAAAAUAACGAUAUUUUUUCGAUAUUUAAAAUAUAUGUUUAAACAAAAUAUUGAUUAUAUAUUUUUUAUAAAUACUUUUAACUAAUGGGAUAUAGAAAUAUGAAACACAAAUUUCACAAUCACAACUGUCAAUGUGAAACUGAAGUAGUGUAAAUUAAAUGACUUUUGAAAUGUACCAAAAAUUGACCUUGUCCAAAAGGUCUUGUCACCGGGAAUUAAAAUAUUUACAAAGAUAUAAAAAAAAUGAAUUUUGGUUCGAAAGUUAUGAUUGAUUUAAAAUAUCACUUUGCUUGAGGAAGAAUAGAAAUCGUGAACGCAACGUCCUUCCCUGCACCCUAUAUUUCUCUGUUUUGACACAGUGACAAAAGGCUGACAUGAACCAUGCAUAUUCUCAUGCAUUGCUUCUUUUAUGGCUCUAAAAAGUUUUGAAUGUGGAUCUUUACCCGGUACAUGCAUGCUCCCCUGUGAAGGAUUUUGGCAUAUUUGUAUUUUUAUGCUAGCAAACAUAUGUUAACAUUUGUAUGCUACUGUGCGUUGAAAGCAGGCUGGAAAAAGGACAUACUAUUAGGCUAAUCAAGCAGCAGGGCCGCAGGCUGCAAUUCAAAGUCCUCAAACUUUGACCGAGUUUUAUAUAUAAAUAUAAAUCACGCUAAUCCGGGUAGACCAGACUAGACAAAGAAAAUGGAAUCUUCAGGGUGCCAUCACGGAGAUGACCGACGGCUGCCGAGCCAUACGUUCAUCUGUGCGUCCCUUUCGAAUGAUUUGGAGCUACCAAGAUUUUUCUGUACCCUCAGAAACGGUAGCCAAAUGCAAUCGCUAUGAUUGCCACCUUUCAAUCCCAUUCAUACGACUGGGACCAGGAAAAAUUGCCGGACAAGCGCGCAAACAUCGCUGUCCUGAGUAAUCCACCGGAGUUUCACUCCAUUCCUUGUUGAUGCGAACCACGGCAAUGGCGGUCAAAACGACCAACUAGCUAGCAGCGAAUCGAUCAAUGCGGUAACUAAUGGCGCUGUCACUGGCGAGCGCGGGUCACUAUGAGCUAAUGAUGUGGUGAGAGGGGAUGGCCGGAUAGAGCAGGAUACUGACCGUGGAGCGCGGCGGAGAGGCUGCCGUCGGGCAGGAAGUCGGCGACGAGGAGCUUCUCGUCGCUGGAGUAGUAGUAGCCGCGGACGGGGAGCAGGUUGCGGUGCUGCACCCGGCCCACCGCCUCCACGGCGGACGCGAACUCCCGCUGCGCCGCCGCCACGUUCUUCAGCCGCUUCACCGCCACCGUCGUCCCGUCCUCCAGCGCCGCCCUGUACGUCGUCCCCGCGACGCCGUUCCCCAGCACCUCCGCCGACGCCCGUAGCAGGUCCUCCAGGUCGAAGCUGUAGCCGCCGCCGCCCAUGAACACCAGCCGGCUCCUCAUCAUCUCCGCCGCG